UACAUGGGGUGCAAACGUUGCUCGGAAUUAUUGGGCGUAAAGCGCACGUAGGCGGUUCGUUAAGUUGGAUGUGAAAGCCCUCGGCUCAACCGAGGAAGUGCAUCCAAAACUGAUGAGCUUGAGUAUGGAAGAGGAUGACGGAAUUCCCGGUGUAGAGGUGAAAUUCGUAGAUAUCGGGAGGAACACCGGUGGCGAAGGCGGUCAUCUGGGCCAAUACUGACGCUGAGGUGCGAAAGCGUGGGGAGCAAACAGG
Molecule: ribosomal RNA, 253 nt
Filed under: uncultured bacterium
Lineage: Bacteria
Description: partial 16S ribosomal RNA
Rfam family: Bacterial small subunit ribosomal RNA
Source: RNAcentral